RNAcentral lists this ribosomal RNA (460 nucleotides) under uncultured bacterium. Its description in RNAcentral is "partial 16S ribosomal RNA". It matches the Rfam family "Bacterial small subunit ribosomal RNA", at positions 338 to 795 of the family's 1533-position model. The record is from RNAcentral.
CCUACGGGAGGCAGCAGUGAGGAAUAUUGGUCAAUGGGCGCGAGCCUGAACCAGCCAAGUCGCGUGAAGGAUGACUGCCCUACGGGUUGUAAACUUCUUUUAUAGAGGAAUAAAGUGAGGCACGUGUGCCUCUUUGUAUGUACUUUAUGAAUAAGGAUCGGCUAACUCCGUGCCAGCAGCCGCGGUAAUACGGAGGAUCCGAGCGUUAUCCGGAUUUAUUGGGUUUAAAGGGAGCGUAGAUGGGUUGUUAAGUCAGUUGUGAAAGUUUGCGGCUCAACCGUAAAAUUGCAAUUGAUACUGGCAGUCUUGAGUGCGGUUGAGGUAGGCGGAAUUCGUGGUGUAGCGGUGAAAUGCUUAGAUAUCACGAAGAACUCCGAUUGCGAAGGCAGCUUACUAAGCUACAACUGACACUGAUGCUCGAAAGUGUGGGUAUCAAACAGGAUUAGAUACCCUGGUAGUC